UACGGGGGGGGCAAGCGUUGUUCGGAAUUACUGGGCGUAAAGGGCGCGUAGGCGGUUCGCUAAGUUGGAUGUGAAAACUCUGGGCUCAACCCAGAGCCUGCAUCCAAAACUGGCGGGCUAGAGUUCUGGAGGGGGUAGCGGAAUUCCUGGUGUAGCGGUGAAAUGCGUAGAUAUCAGGAGGAACACCGGUGGCGAAGGCGGCUACCUGGACCGGCAUUGACGCUGAACAGCGAAAGCCAGGGGAGCAAACGGG
This 253-nucleotide ribosomal RNA is filed under the name uncultured prokaryote. RNAcentral describes it as "partial 16S ribosomal RNA". It matches the Rfam family "Bacterial small subunit ribosomal RNA", at positions 524 to 776 of the family's 1533-position model. The record is from RNAcentral.